This is a long non-coding RNA of Dermacentor albipictus, 644 nucleotides long. RefSeq lists it as uncharacterized. NCBI's taxonomy places the organism in Eukaryota, Metazoa, Arthropoda, Arachnida, Ixodida, Ixodidae. The record is from RefSeq and is a predicted model, not a curated record.
UCGAGCUAGAAGCUUUCGACAGGAGCGUGCUUAGGGACGCGACUUGCUUUCCCACAACGCGCAGACAUUCCCGCUAGAGGGAUGUAAUGUUCUCGAGGUCCGAGCACUUCGUAGGCGGUCUGUAAUACCUCUCCCGCUUUUCUAGCACCACUGCUAGAACGAUUGGGUUCCCCAGGAUACAACGUGAGUCGCAUGCUCUCUUAGUACUCUUAGGGUAUUCAAUGAAGAAGUUGCCUCAGAACAGUACUAGUGGUGCUUGAGAAAACUGAACGAUACAAAAAGAACGCCGCCAUCGCGUCAACUGCGAGCUUUGGAGGGAAGACACGGGCACUCUUUUCGUAUAACGAACUCGGGCUUUUGCGGCCCAUGUACUUUUCUGGAUCUCAGGAAUAUGGAUACAUCGCUCAGAAGCACCAUUUUCUUCUUCAUGACACUUCUUACAUUGGACCUGCUUCUAGUUAUUUUUGCGCGUCCGUAUAUCGCAAGAGAGUGCAAACGUGGAUUUGGUCCUAACGCUCCAACAUCGAUAUAUAGUGCGCUGCAAGGACUUUUCAACGAUGCUAUGCGCAUGUUCAGACGUGCGCUUUCACGGUAACAUUUCAACCUAAAUCGGGCAAUUCAAAUAAAGUACGCAAAACCAUUGA